GACGAACGCUGGCGGCGUGCUUAACACAUGCAAGUCGAACGGAAAGGCCCUGCUUUUGUGGGGUGCUCGAGUGGCGAACGGGUGAGUAACACGUGAGUAACCUGCCCUUGACUUUGGGAUAACUUCAGGAAACUGGGGCUAAUACCGGAUAGGAGCUCCUGCUGCAUGGUGGGGGUUGGAAAGUUUCGGCGGUUGGGGAUGGACUCGCGGCUUAUCAGCUUGUUGGUGGGGUAGUGGCUUACCAAGGCUUUGACGGGUAGCCGGCCUGAGAGGGUGACCGGCCACAUUGGGACUGAGAUACGGCCCAGCCUCCUACGGGAGGCAGCAGUGGGGAAUAUUGCACAAUGGGCGGAAGCCUGAUGCAGCACCGCCGCGUGCGGGAUGACGGCCUUCGGGUUGUAAACCGCUUUCGCCUGUGACGAAGCGUGAGUGACGGUAAUGGGUAAAGAAGCACCGGCUAACUCCGUG
Molecule: ribosomal RNA, 468 nt
Filed under: uncultured bacterium
Lineage: Bacteria
Description: partial 16S ribosomal RNA
Rfam family: Bacterial small subunit ribosomal RNA
Source: RNAcentral